This 55-nucleotide transfer RNA is filed under the name Jesogammarus hinumensis. Its description in RNAcentral is "tRNA-Ser". Lineage: Eukaryota; Metazoa; Arthropoda; Malacostraca; Amphipoda; Anisogammaridae. The record is from RNAcentral.
UAAGGUGUUAUAAAAGACUUCUAAUCUUAAAUUAGUGAACACCACUACACCUUUA